This 1961-nucleotide small RNA is filed under the name Pongo abelii (Sumatran orangutan). RNAcentral describes it as "retained intron". The record is from RNAcentral. Lineage: Eukaryota; Metazoa; Chordata; Mammalia; Primates; Hominidae.
AAUUGACAUGCAGCUUCCUUUCUGAUGGGCUCUAACUUCAGCUUUUCGGUCUCAUUCAGAAUAGAGAAAUUAACGUAUUUUACCGGCGGGUGUUUUCAGAUUAAGAAACUCAAAGGGCAGCUGGAGGAGAGACAGAAGAUUGGCAAACUAGACAAUCUUCGAUCUGAAGAUGAUGUGUUGGAAAACGGGACAGACGUGCAUGUAAUGGACCUACAAAGUAAAUGUCAAUUCUUGUGUAGAAGUAAAUGCUUUCAUAUGUGCUGUUUUAGUAUAACUGCGCUGGCAGAGAAAACUGUCACGGCAAAGAAUGCCCUCAUUCCCUCACAUCCCCACAAAAGCCCUUGAAAAUAAAAGCACAAGGAUGGGUAGGUAGACAGAACAAUGGUGUUUCUCUCUGAGCCUAUGAAAUAGAACAGGUGCCCAAAAACGCGCACCAAGAUACCACCACAUGUUGUGCUGAUGGAAACCACAUUUACUUUGCUGGAUACAGCAAUCUUUUGAUCUGUUGAUUGUGUGAAAAAAAAUGAAAGGCUUUUUUUUAUGCCAAUAAACUAGAAACAGUCUUAAGGGAGAUAAAAUGACGCCCAGUCUCUCUCCCGCUUUUCCCUACCCCCCAUCUCUUUGUCUUCUUCACUCGUAGGCACUCUCUUGCCUGAGGUCUCCUGCCCUAAGCACCGGGGCGGAAGGCACUUUCCCAGCCUGGGUUCAUGGGGAGAGAGUGCCUUCUCCUACUCUCAGCUCUGGGAGGUUGUGGAGGCAAGGCCAGAACUAACAGAUUUGCGAGAUGAUUACAAAGUAAGGGCUUGGUUCCCAGUAACUAUUGUUUUAAUAUUUGAAAAGCCCAAGAGCUUAACAGAUUUUCCUUCUCUUUCAACCUUUAGGGGAUGCCAACAGACAGAUCAGCGACCUCAAAUUUAAACUUGCAAAAUCUGAGCAAGAGAUAACUGCAUUAGAACAAAAUGUAAUAAGGUUAGAGAGUCAAGUAUCACGUUACAAAUCAGCGGCUGAAAAUGCAGAAAAAAUAGAAGAUGAACUUAAGGCAGAAAAACGGAAACUCCAAAGAGAGCUCCGCUCUGCAUUGGAUAAAACAGAAGAGCUCGAGGUGAGCAACGGCCACUUAGUGAAGCGUCUGGAAAAAAUGAAAGCAAAUCGUAGUGCACUCUUGUCCCAGCAGUAAAUUCCAGCUCUGAAAUUUACUGUCACUGGUUGGUGACUGGAGAGCAUUGUUUCAUAGGCUUUUCUCUGUCCUGUCUGGGAGCGCUGCUUCUUCCCCUGCCUUCUGAGAGACGAAGACUGUGGCGAGCUUGGCGCUUAGAGGCUCCCGUGCCAUGGCUCACCCCAGGGAGCCCCAGCAGCCACCAGGUGCCUCUGUCUGCAGACCCCUGGCCCGAGCUGGGGCCAACGCUCAGAACCUGCAGGUACUUCAUAAGCACACAGGGGCCUCGAGGGAGCUCUGUGUCUGACCGCACAGCAGCCUCUGAAUGCCCCUGGAAAUGAUGAUCAAAGUAAAGAUUCAGUUGGGACUUGAGUUGUUUUUUUUUUUUUCAUGUGUCUUGCUGAAGAUUAAGGGGAAAUGUUACAGUGUUGGGACUUCCUUUCAUGGCAGAAUCUACAAUUUGAGCGACUUCAGUAGUAUCUCUUAGUCUGCGCUUUUCAUACACAAAACACUGUGGAACCACAAGCCAUUACCAAGCAAAACUCUUUCACUGGAAACAAGGGGGCAGUCUAGAAGUAAAAGUGACCUUAAGAAGACUCUUUACAGGCAACAAAUGAAGCUUUUCUAAGGGAUUUUUGCAUCAGUUCAGUCAUAAGAAUACUUUUUUCCAGGGUAAUUAGGCAAUAGCUUCACUGAAAAUGACAGCUUUUCAUUUGCAUUAUUUAAUCCUUAUAUUUGGAAUUGAAGUUGUUAACUUCUUUUAAAGAAUGUACUAUUAGAAAAAUUAAAAAUGAAAUGUUGAGAG